This 924-nucleotide ribosomal RNA is filed under the name Microbacterium oleivorans. Its description in RNAcentral is "bacterial SSU rRNA". It matches the Rfam family "Bacterial small subunit ribosomal RNA", at positions 85 to 1019 of the family's 1533-position model. The record is from RNAcentral. Lineage: Bacteria; Bacillati; Actinomycetota; Actinomycetes; Micrococcales; Microbacteriaceae.
CUGUGGAUCAGUGGCGAACGGGUGAGUAACACGUGAGCAACCUGCCCCUGACUCUGGGAUAAGCGCUGGAAACGGCGUCUAAUACCGGAUAUGAGCUGCGAUCGCAUGGUCAGCAGUUGGAAAGAUUUUUCGGUCUGGGAUGGGCUCACGGCCUAUCAGCUUGUUGGUGAGGUAAUGGCUCACCAAGGCGUCGACGGGUAGCCGGCCUGAGAGGGUGACCGGCCACACUGGGACUGAGACACGGCCCAGACUCCUACGGGAGGCAGCAGUGGGGAAUAUUGCACAAUGGGCGAAAGCCUGAUGCAGCAACGCCGCGUGAGGGAUGACGGCCUUCGGGUUGUAAACCUCUUUUAGCAGGGAAGAAGCGAAAGUGACGGUACCUGCAGAAAAAGCGCCGGCUAACUACGUGCCAGCAGCCGCGGUAAUACGUAGGGCGCAAGCGUUAUCCGGAAUUAUUGGGCGUAAAGAGCUCGUAGGCGGUUUGUCGCGUCUGCUGUGAAAUCCCGAGGCUCAACCUCGGGUCUGCAGUGGGUACGGGCAGACUAGAGUGCGGUAGGGGAGAUUGGAAUUCCUGGUGUAGCGGUGGAAUGCGCAGAUAUCAGGAGGAACACCGAUGGCGAAGGCAGAUCUCUGGGCCGUUACUGACGCUGAGGAGCGAAAGGGUGGGGAGCAAACAGGCUUAGAUACCCUGGUAGUCCACCCCGUAAACGUUGGGAACUAGUUGUGGGGUCCAUUCCACGGAUUCCGUGACGCAGCUAACGCAUUAAGUUCCCCGCCUGGGGAGUACGGCCGCAAGGCUAAAACUCAAAGGAAUUGACGGGGACCCGCACAAGCGGCGGAGCAUGCGGAUUAAUUCGAUGCAACGCGAAGAACCUUACCAAGGCUUGACAUAUACGAGAACGGGCCAGAAAUGGUCAACUCUUU